GACGAACGCUGGCGGCGUGCCUAAUACAUGCAAGUAGAACGCACGGUUUAUACCGUAGCUUGCUACACCAUAGACUGUGAGUUGCGAACGGGUGAGUAACGCGUAGGUAACCUGCCUGGUAGCGGGGGAUAACUAUUGGAAACGAUAGCUAAUACCGCAUAAUAUUAAUUAUUGCAUGAUAAUUAAUUGAAAGGUGCAAUUGCACCACUACCAGAUGGACCUGCGUUGUAUUAGCUAGUAGGUGAGGUAACGGCUCACCUAGGCGAUGAUACAUAGCCGACCUGAGAGGGUGAUCGGCCACACUGGGACUGAGACACGGCCCAGACUCCUACGGGAGGCAGCAGUAGGGAAUCUUCGGCAAUGGACGAAAGUCUGACCGAGCAACGCCGCGUGAGUGAAGAAGGUUUUCGGAUCGUAAAGCUCUGUUGUAAGAGAAGAACGGGUGUGAGAGUGGAAAGUUCACACUGUGACGGUAUCUUACCAGAAAGGGACGGCUAACUACGUG
Molecule: ribosomal RNA, 505 nt
Filed under: uncultured bacterium
Lineage: Bacteria
Description: partial 16S ribosomal RNA
Rfam family: Bacterial small subunit ribosomal RNA
Source: RNAcentral